UAGUAAAUGUCAUAUCUUGUG
Molecule: non-coding RNA, 21 nt
Organism: Caenorhabditis elegans
Lineage: Eukaryota; Metazoa; Nematoda; Chromadorea; Rhabditida; Rhabditidae
Source: Ensembl